RNAcentral lists this ribosomal RNA (292 nucleotides) under uncultured bacterium. RNAcentral's name for it is "partial 16S ribosomal RNA". It matches the Rfam family "Bacterial small subunit ribosomal RNA", at positions 505 to 796 of the family's 1533-position model. The record is from RNAcentral.
GUGUCAGCAGCCGCGGUAAAACGUAGGAGGCGAGCGUUAUCCGGAUUCACUGGGUGUAAAGCGCGUGCAGGCGGUUCGGUAAGUUGGGCGUGAAAUCUCCCGGCUCAACUGGGAGAGGUCGUUCAAUACUACCGGGCUUGAGAGCAGUAGAGGAAGAUGGAAUUCCCGGUGUAGUGGUGAAAUGCGUAGAUAUCGGGAGGAACACCAGUGGCGAAGGCGAUCUUCUGGACUGUUUCUGACGCUCAGACGCGACAGCUAGGGUAGCAAACGGGAUUAGAAACCCGGGUAGUCC